UCCUACGGGUGGCUGCAGUGGGGAAUCUUGCGCAAUGGGCGAAAGCCUGACGCAGCGACGCCGCGUGGGGGAUGAAGCUUCUCGGAGUGUAAACCCCUUUCGACCGGGACGAAUGCCCGCAAGGGGGUGACGGUACCGGUAUAAGAAGCCCCGGCUAACUACGUGCCAGCAGCCGCGGUAAGACGUAGGGGGCCAGCGUUGUUCGGAAUUACUGGGUGUAAAGGGUUCGUAGGCGGUGUGGCAAGUCGGGAGUGAAAUCUCUGGGCUCAACUCAGGGGCUGCUUCCGAAACUGCUGUGCUAGAGUGCGGGAGAGGCGCGUGGAAUUGCAGGUGUAGCGGUGAAAUGCGUAGAUAUCUGCAGGAACACCCGUGGCGAAAGCGGCGCGCUGGACCGUUACUGACGCUGAGGAACGAAAGCUAGGGGAGCAAACAGGAUUAGAUACCCUAGUAGUCCC
RNAcentral lists this ribosomal RNA (455 nucleotides) under Escherichia coli. Its description in RNAcentral is "bacterial SSU rRNA". It matches the Rfam family "Bacterial small subunit ribosomal RNA", at positions 337 to 797 of the family's 1533-position model. The record is from RNAcentral. Lineage: Bacteria; Pseudomonadati; Pseudomonadota; Gammaproteobacteria; Enterobacterales; Enterobacteriaceae.